CCCUUAGAUGUUCUGGGCCGCACGCGUGCUACACUGAGUGGAUCAGCGGGUCAGGUUGCGCGAAAGCGUUUCCUAAUCUUGAAAUCCGCUCGUGAUGGGGAUUGACGGUUGCAAUUUUCUGUCAUGAACGAGGAAUACCUUGUAAGCGCGAGUCAUCAUCCCGCGCUGAAUACGUCCCUGCCCUUUGUACACACCGCCCGUCGCUCCUACCGAUUGAGUGGUCCGGUGAGGCUUUGGGAUCUGAGUGGAAAGAGCGUUUCGCUCGUUCUGCCCGGAAAACUCAGUCGAACCUUAUCAUUUAGAGGAAGGAGAAGUCGUAACA
RNAcentral lists this ribosomal RNA (322 nucleotides) under uncultured eukaryote. Its description in RNAcentral is "partial 18S ribosomal RNA". It matches the Rfam family "Eukaryotic small subunit ribosomal RNA", at positions 1470 to 1796 of the family's 1831-position model. The record is from RNAcentral.